AUUGAACGCUGGCGGCAUGCUUUACACAUGCAAGUCGAACGGCAGCGCGGGGGCAACCCUGGCGGCGAGUGGCGAACGGGUGAGUAAUAUAUCGGAACGUACCCAGGAGUGGGGGAUAACGUAGCGAAAGUUACGCUAAUACCGCAUACGAUCUACGGAUGAAAGCAGGGGACCGCAAGGCCUUGUGCUCGUGGAGCGGCCGAUAUCUGAUUAGCUAGUUGGUAGGGUAAAGGCCUACCAAGGCAUCGAUCAGUAGCUGGUCUGAGAGGACGACCAGCCACACUGGAACUGAGACACGGUCCAGACUCCUGCGGGAGGCAGCAGUGGGGAAUUUUGGACAAUGGGCGCAAGCCUGAUCCAGCAAUGCCGCGUGAGUGAAGAAGGCCUUCGGGUUGUAAAGCUCU
RNAcentral lists this ribosomal RNA (404 nucleotides) under uncultured Oxalobacteraceae bacterium. RNAcentral describes it as "bacterial SSU rRNA". It matches the Rfam family "Bacterial small subunit ribosomal RNA", at positions 30 to 434 of the family's 1533-position model. Lineage: Bacteria; Pseudomonadati; Pseudomonadota; Betaproteobacteria; Burkholderiales; Oxalobacteraceae. The record is from RNAcentral.